This 417-nucleotide ribosomal RNA is filed under the name Campylobacter gracilis. RNAcentral's name for it is "bacterial SSU rRNA". It matches the Rfam family "Bacterial small subunit ribosomal RNA", at positions 31 to 446 of the family's 1533-position model. Lineage: Bacteria; Pseudomonadati; Campylobacterota; Epsilonproteobacteria; Campylobacterales; Campylobacteraceae. The record is from RNAcentral.
GAACGCUGGCGGCGUGCCUAAUACAUGCAAGUCGAACGGAAUUUAAGAGAGCUUGCUCUUUUAAAUUUAGUGGCGCACGGGUGAGUAAUAUAUAGCUAAUCUGCCCCUUGCUGGAGGACAACAGUUAGAAAUGACUGCUAAUACUCCAUACUCCUUUUUACCAUAAGAUAAAUCGGGAAAGAAUUUCGGCAAGGGAUGAGACUAUAUCGUAUCAGCUAGUCGGUGGGGUAACGGCCUACCGAGGCUAUGACGCGUAACUGGUCUGAGAGGAUGAUCAGUCACAUUGGAACUGAGACACGGUCCAAACUCCUACGGGAGGCAGCAGUAGGGAAUAUUGCGCAAUGGGGGAAACCCUGACGCAGCAACGCCGCGUGGAGGAUGACACUUUUCGGAGCGUAAACUCCUUUUGUUAGGGAA